AGGGCGCUUGAUAAAAGAUGGCGGCGUCCAUGGUAAACUGAUCGAAAGUCGUAUCGAGAAGAUUUCAGAUUUUUUAUCUGCACCUACUACAUGUAGGCCUACCCUGCGCCGUUAAGUGUUGUUGAAAUUCAGUCACCACAAUGGAUUUGAAUCCUGAUGCAGAUCUUGCCGUGCGAAAGAAGAAAAAGAAGAAGAAGAAAAGGAAACAUGCAGAGACUCCAGCGGACUAUGCCUGGAUAAAAACUGAGCCUGAGACUGAGUGGUUGAGUGUACAAAGUCAGAAUCUUGACUUUGGGACCAUAGACAACAACCGAACCCUUGGUGCUCCCAAGGAAACAAGGAAGAAAAAAAAGAAGGUGAAAUCUGAAGACCCAGUGGAAAAUGUGCCCAGUGUGGAUGCAGAAAUGGUGUGUGAUUUUGGCAUCUCGGAUAGCACUGAUCAUUCAGAUGAGGCAAAGCAGAUCCUUAAAAAGAAAAGGAAGAGGAAAAGAAAACGCUCUAUUCUCCAGGAAGCACAGUCCGAGGAGACAAGUUCUAUAGCGGGGGAUUCACAGCAGGAGGUUCAAGAUGGAGUUGAGGACUGUCCCUUGUCUUUCCGGGCUGAACCUCAAUCACACAAAUGCAAGAAGAACAAGAAGUGUAAGGUACAAGAGCAGCCGUCUCCAGGAACAUUAACGGCAGAUGUGGCCGAGUCACAACACAUAAUGCCUGCUGUUUCAGAGGCGACUAAGGAGAAAGUUGCUGAUAAAAGCCGCAAGAAAAAGAAACACAAGGCAAAAGACCAUCUUGACAGUCCGAUGAGUACCGAUGCGGAUGGAGACCAGACUUCAGGGAAGAUUACUGUGACUGACACAACUGAGGAUGAUGCAAGGCAUAAGAAGAGAAAAAGGAAAGCCCAGGACAAGCUCAAUGAACUGCACUACGAGGAACCCCAAGGGCUGGCAGAUGCUAAUUGCAAAAAUCAAGAUGACUUGGUCUCAGAGGGUGUGGGAUACCCUGUGCGAAUAAAGAAAGGAAAAAGAAAGAAGAAAGAUUUGGAUGAGCAUUUGCAAACAGGAGGGAGUGCCGAAUCACAGAUUUCUCCUAAUACUGUGGACAUGCAGGAGAAGCUGUCAUCGCAAGAGGAGGAUCCCAAACCCAGGAAGAGAAAAAAGAAAUCCACUGGUUGGAACAAUGGUAAUGAUGACCCCAUAUGUCUGCAGUCGUCUGAAAUAGAGAUUGGUGAGCAAAAACUAGUGGAUGGACAUCUUCGCAAGGUAAAACUUACAGAGGCACGGCAAAUCGCUGUCAGUGAUCAUACCCCUGUCACCCGAUGAAAAUGGCUCUCCGUCCCUGGACGAGUCUCCGGACCCCAGGGCAGUCCUCAGAAAGAAUCCCUCACCGUAUAAGGGUCAGAGUGGAUGCUCCAAAGCUCCGGCUGCUGACAGGUUGUUGGAGGCCAAAGCAUCGGUCUUUGCUGGCAAGAUGGGGUGGUCCUC
Molecule: unclassified non-coding RNA, 1478 nt
Filed under: Acanthaster planci (crown-of-thorns starfish)
Lineage: Eukaryota; Metazoa; Echinodermata; Asteroidea; Valvatida; Acanthasteridae
Description: uncharacterized LOC110987533, transcript variant X1
Source: RNAcentral